Molecule: ribosomal RNA, 253 nt
Filed under: uncultured bacterium
Lineage: Bacteria
Description: partial 16S ribosomal RNA
Rfam family: Bacterial small subunit ribosomal RNA
Source: RNAcentral
UACGUAGGGGGCAAGCGUUGUCCGGAAUCAUUGGGCGUAAAGAGCGCGUAGGCGGCCCAGUAAGUCCGCUCUGAAAGUCAGGGGCUCAACCCCUGAAUGCGGGUGGAUACUGCUGGGCUAGAGUCCGGAAGAGGCGAGUGGAAUUCCUGGUGUAGCGGUGAAAUGCGCAGAUAUCAGGAGGAACACCGAUGGCGAAGGCAGCUCGCUGGGACGGUACUGACGCUGAGGCGCGAAAGCUAGGGGAGCAAACGGG